RNAcentral lists this ribosomal RNA (497 nucleotides) under uncultured bacterium. Its description in RNAcentral is "partial 16S ribosomal RNA". It matches the Rfam family "Bacterial small subunit ribosomal RNA", at positions 28 to 507 of the family's 1533-position model. The record is from RNAcentral.
GAUGAACGCUGGCGGCGUGCCUAAUACAUGCAAGUCGAGCGAACAGACGAGGAGCUUGCUCCUCUGACGUUAGCGGCGGACGGGUGAGUAACACGUGGAUAACCUACCUAUAAGACUGGGAUCACUUCGGGAAACCGGAGCUAAUACCGGAUAAUAUAUUGAACCGCAUGGUUCAAUAGUGAAAGACGGUUUUGCUGUCACUUAUAGAUGGAUCCGCGCCGCAUUAGCUAGUUGGUAAGGUAACGGCUUACCAAGGCAACGAUGCGUAGCCGACCUGAGAGGGUGAUCGGCCACACGGGAACUGGGACACGGUCCAGACUCCUACGGGAGGCAGCAGUAGGGAAUCUUCCGCAAUGGGCGAAAGCCUGACGGAGCAACGCCGCGUGAGUGAUGAAGGUCUUCGGAUCGUAAAACUCUGUUAUUAGGGAAGAACAAAUGUGUAAGUAACUAUGCACGUCUUGACGGUACCUAAUCAGAAAGCCACGGCUAACUACGUG